GCUGGCAGAGCAACGGACUCUUAAUCCGUGGGUCCAGGGUUCGAUCCCCUGACCACCCA
This is a transfer RNA of 59 nucleotides. It matches the Rfam family "tRNA", at positions 15 to 71 of the family's 71-position model. Rfam says of the family: Transfer RNA (tRNA) molecules are approximately 80 nucleotides in length. Their secondary structure includes four short double-helical elements and three loops (D, anti-codon, and T loops). Further hydrogen bonds mediate the characteristic L-shaped molecular structure. tRNAs have two regions of fundamental functional importance: the anti-codon, which is responsible for specific mRNA codon recognition, and the 3' end, to which the tRNAs corresponding amino acid is attached (by aminoacyl-tRNA synthetases). tRNAs cope with the degeneracy of the genetic code in two manners: having more than one tRNA (with a specific anti-codon) for a particular amino acid; and 'wobble' base-pairing, i.e. permitting non-standard base-pairing at the 3rd anti-codon position. The record is from Rfam.